This 1317-nucleotide long non-coding RNA is filed under the name Mytilus galloprovincialis (Mediterranean mussel). The record is from RNAcentral. Lineage: Eukaryota; Metazoa; Mollusca; Bivalvia; Mytilida; Mytilidae.
UUUGAAAUUUUGAAAUUAUGCAAAUUCCAUAAUUAAAAUUAUCCCAGAUGCUAAUUAAGACCAAACAACAAAUUGGCAGUAUUUGGCCACAGCCUUUAAUAUUAUAUUCUCAUAAUUUAUACAUGUUGUAUAUAACUGAAAAAUGAGGUUACCCGCAUAUUGCUGAUUAUGGCAACCGUACUGUCAUAUAUAUAUAUAUAUAUAUAUCAUAUAUAUAUAUAUAUAUAUAUAUAAAUUACUACCACAGAUAAUGGUAACUGAAGAUAGGAUUAAAACAAUUUGGAAAUCACCGUGGGAACACAGGUGAUGGAUCGAAACCCUUACAUUGUUCAUCUAGAUCUGUAGUAAAUGAUCCUAUUCAUAAAACAAAAUGUUUUUUGAUGCAGCGAAUUAUGCAAAUCACAGGCCUAAUAAAUUCAAAGUCUUUGUUGGAAGGUUCGAUAACUUCGAUCAGACUUCUUCACAGGUCCUGUCUGUCCAAAUGGCCAAAUACAUAUAGGUGUUCAAACAAUUGACAACUGAAACAUCACCUGAAAUUAUAAAUUACAACACAGGCAGUAUCUUAUUCUAAUACAUUGUAUUUACAAUAAAUAUACAUUUCGGGAGGAGGGAGGGAUUUUGAAUAAAAUUUUCCUCUGAUAACAACAAGUUAUUUAAGCAGCCUCUCCUGUUGGACCCGAAUUAAAAAGGGAUCGUGACGUCAAAUUGUAUGGUUCACUAACCACCAAUGAAAUUUGAGUUUUCCUAAACUCACUAAUAACCAACCAAUGUAAUAGUACAGCGCACCGUGAUAACUGAAUUUAAGUACAGGACUUAAAUUCUAUUAUCCCAGAUGCUAAUUAAGACCAAACAACAAAUUGGCAGUAUUUGGCCACAGCCUUUAAUAUUAUAUUCUCAUAAUUUAUACAUGUUGUAUAUAACUGAAAAAUGAGGUUACCCGCAUAUUGCUGAUUAUGGCAACCGUACUGUCAUAUAUAUAUAUAUAUAAAUUACUACCACAGAUAAUGGUAACUGAAGAUAGGAUUAAAACAAUUUGGAAAUCACCGUGGGAACACAGGUGAUGGAUCGAAACCCUUACAUUGUUCAUCUAGAUCUGUAGUAAAUGAUCCUAUUCAUAAAACAAAAUGUUUUUUGAUGCAGCGAAUUAUGCCAGAUUGACAGUGAAACAGAAUAUAAUGAUUCAUUGUCAACCGCCAUAUAAUGGAGGUUCGCUGCCAAGCUGUGAGCCAAAUACAUCCACUAAAAAUCAAAGCAAACUUCAAGUUACAUGUAACUACUAGUAAAGUUGCUGAAUAAAAAAAUACAAAAAAAAAAAAA